RNAcentral lists this unclassified non-coding RNA (250 nucleotides) under fungal sp. RNAcentral describes it as "partial internal transcribed spacer region". The stretch from base 1 to 46 matches the Rfam family "Eukaryotic small subunit ribosomal RNA", at positions 1786 to 1831 of the family's 1831-position model. Lineage: Eukaryota; Fungi. The record is from RNAcentral.
AAGUCGUAACAAGGUCUCCGUUGGUGAACCAGCGGAGGGAUCAUUAUUGAGUUGCAAAACUCCCUAAACCCAUUGUUUACAUAUCUCGAAAUACGUCUGCUUCGGCGGGCGGCCCCAGGGCGGGGCCGCAGUUCGUCGCCUAGUGCGUUGAGCGCCCGCCGGAGAGGACACCCCAAAACUCUUGUUUCAGUACAACUCUGAGCAUAAAGACAAAUAGUCAAAACUUUCAACAACGGAUCUCUUGGUUCUG